AGGGUGUAAACGCUGCGGGCUUGGUGUUGGGGGUCCUUUGAGGGCGCCCAGUGCCGGAGAGAAGUUGUUAAGCCUGCUGCUUGGGGAGUACGUCCGCAAGGAUGAAACUUAAAGGAAUUGGCGGGGGAGGCACCGCAACGGGAGGAGCGUGCGGUUCAAUUGGAUUCAACGCCGGACAACUCACCAGGAGCGACGGUUACAUGAAGGCCAGGCUGAUGACCCUUGCCUGAUUUUCUAGAGAGGAGGUGGCAUGGCGGUC
Molecule: ribosomal RNA, 259 nt
Filed under: uncultured archaeon
Lineage: Archaea
Description: partial 16S ribosomal RNA
Rfam family: Archaeal small subunit ribosomal RNA
Source: RNAcentral